Molecule: long non-coding RNA, 273 nt
Organism: Protopterus annectens (West African lungfish)
Lineage: Eukaryota; Metazoa; Chordata; Ceratodontiformes; Protopteridae
Exons: 3
Source: RefSeq, a predicted model, not a curated record
CUCAGCACAUGGUAUUAGGGUGCUGGCAGCAAUAAGAUGGCUUGUGAGUGCUGGUCCCGGCAGCUCUGACUGUAUGUACUGGGAAGGAGAAGCUGUGUUUUGAGAAGUUGUUUGGAGGUGGAGUAGUGGGAGAGAAAGGAUGAAAGGUGCAAAGAGGGCUACCAAGGAGUGCGAUGUGACCAAUUUUUGCCGAAAACAGAUUCGAUUUUGUCAGAUCCAAGUGUCAAGAAGGCUAUUCUGGUGACCGCUGCCAGGUUUACUUGUUGCCAAGAA